This 119-nucleotide non-coding RNA is filed under the name Burkholderia ubonensis. RNAcentral describes it as "SAH sequence". It matches the Rfam family "SAH (S-adenosyl-L-homocysteine) riboswitch aptamer". Lineage: Bacteria; Pseudomonadati; Pseudomonadota; Betaproteobacteria; Burkholderiales; Burkholderiaceae. The record is from RNAcentral.
UUUUCCGAGGAGCGUUGCGACGGACCAUCCAGCGUCCGCCAGGCUCGGAAAGCUUCACCAAGCGGCCGGGCCGCGGCGCAAUGCGCCGGCUCCCGCUUCCUGAACGGCGCUCACGUCAC